GGCUAUUGACAUGUUGUGCCGCUAAGCUGCUCAAUGCUGUUUUUCACCUCGGAGUUUGCACCUGCCCUGACUCCAGGAUACUGCUACUGUCCCCCUUGCAGGUGGCAUGGAUGCCUCGCACACGGGUGACAUCUUCUGGGUGCUGGCAUUUACUGUCCCACUUCUGGUGAUUCUACUGGUGCUUUGCAUUGACUGCCGGGACCCUGAAUUAGACACACAAUCUGUUGAUGAUUACCAGGACAAGCCUUCAAGUAGUGCACGUUCGAGUUCAACCUUCAAGUUGAUACGUCCUCCCUCCCCACCUUGGCCUGCUGUUUCAUCCCAACCAGACAUGUGGAGGCAUAGCAGAUGCCCCCCAUGCAGUCUUUCCUAUCCAGCACCGUCAUACAAAGUUGAAAGGGAUAAUGAAAGCAUUCCCAGUUAUGAAAACCAAGGUGAAGUACAAGCUGGUGCCACUGAUGAUGAGGAUAAUGAUGACAACUAUGUCCCUCCAUACAUUGACGUGCUGCCAGAUGCGCCACUUACAGGUCAAGGCAAUGAAGACGGUGCUUCCACAGAUUCCCUAGGGGAGCAGUAUGAGAAUGUGCUUGAGUGUGAGCGCAAUUCGCCCGGUGACUAUGUCAACGUACUAGAACCAGAAGCUACCAUGGUGGGUCCUUGUUUUGUUGGCAGUGGCACCAGUGAUCGGGAAAGUGAAGAUGACACUCCGGACUAUGAGAAUGUCUGUCCUGGGCUUUGAGGUUGAAAGGUUCCUUUGCCGGUUGCUCCAGUCACCUAUAUGCAGAAUGCAUUACCUGGUUGGCCUAAGGACACUGUCUUCCCAGUCACCCUCAAAUAUUGCCGUAACUUAUUGCCCUUCUUUGCACUUUGCAUGACACAUCCUGAGAAUUUUCCACAAUACUAUAGAAUCUUGGUAGCAAGAUUCAGAAGCUUGACUGUCCAUGUGGAACUGGUCUUCUAACACUCCCCACCCCCCCAGCCCGCAAAGCAUUCUGGGUUGUUUAUGUCUCUUUGCUAAAUAAAGAACUGGUAAUUUCAUCGUUGUUGUACUUGAAAGGGAAUUGGUGCAGGAUUAUGGAUGGGGAGAGAUGCCUAGAAGGGUCUGAACAGAGUGUGCAGAGUUCAGGUGAACAGAUAAGUCUUGGCAAUUGCUAAACAGUGCACUGGGAUUCUAACUUUGGUUUCUACUUCAACUGAAGUGAACCUCAGAGGUUCCUCGCUUCCUCGAGCACUGCAGCCUGCAUUCGGUUACUUGGGACGACAGAGUAUUAGAGUAUUAGAGACAUUAUGCAACAUUAUUGCUUCCUUGACUUGGGAUGCUUACACACAAGGCUUUUAAAGUGGAAUUGCUGUGCUUCAUCCACUCUUACUUAUGCUCCAUCUUUCAGUUUUCAAAAGCACGGCACCAGGCAGUUUCCAUCAUUAAAGCAACAAGCAGUGCUUUUUAUCUGGGGGGUACGCAUACCCCUAACAUUUUGUGAAUCUAAGUUUGACUUCAUUGAGGGGCAGUAUGAGUAGGAAAAUGAGAGUAGCCCCAAACAUCUUUUUAAGGAAAAAAAGCACUGGUAACAAGUCAUUAAAAAAAAAAAAUAGCAUUAAAUCAAGCCGAUCAAACAGGAGACGGAAAUUAAAGGAGGCCAAAAGCUUAUCAGAAUACAGUGUAAACAAAAUUUAUGGCUCCAGAGAAACACUUGCCUGUCCUCUGUGCAACACAGUAGAGGAUGAUAGGGAUGCAGGCUACUGGAUUAUUUUAUUUUUUGCUUUUCCUUGGAUUCACAGAGUCCUGAAGUUAUUGCUGCUCAUUUUGUGAACAAAAGUCAUAUAAUACCCAAACCUGCCCAGCUCCAUUCACCUCUAAGUGGAACAUUGGUUGGGGGAACCUCUUCUGUUUACGAGGAGUUGGCAUACACUGAUGGAUGGAACAAGUCACAGCCACUGCCGCUCUUAAUCUUAUCUUCCAUAUGUUUUGUAAACACAAACCUCUUGGCGCGAGACCUUUGGGGCAGAGGGUGAUGCCCUGCAGCCAGGUUCUUGAAUCGACUAUCUGCCCGAGACAAAUGCCAUUUUUAUUCCACACCCAAGUCGCCACCGGCAUUCAAGAUAGGCCAGAUGUUUCUUGCAUAAUAACCACGGGAAUACUGGGUAGGGACAACAACAGAUAGACAGGGUUGAGAUCAUAGGGGCAGUGCCAGGCAAGCACAAACACCCCAUUAUCUUGGGGUGCCAGAGAGUGUUGAGGUGCCCUUACAGUCUGCUGUCUCUGCUGAUAACGGAAGCAGGCACGUAAGCCGUCCCCCCUUGGCUGUGUUUUGCUGUGCUAUUAGGGACUUCCACAAUCUCCAGAAGAACAGUCAUUGCUUGCAGGGAUGGGCUUCUUCACAUUGAUCCUCCUCACCUCCUCCUGCUUCCUUGGAAAAGCCGGUGAGUUGCCUGCUUUGAAACUGAAGGAGGUGGGCAGCAAAGGCAUCUUAAGAGUUGGAAAAGACUUGAGAGGCCAAGAUCUAGUUCAGCCACCUGCUCAAUGCAGGAUGGCACUACUGCAAGGUUGCUGGUGGUACCAGUGGCCCUCCAGAUGUGGCUGGACUACACUCCCAUCAUCUCUGACCAUUGGCCGUGUUGGCUAGGGCUGAUGGGAGUCCAAGAACAUCUGCAGGGCCAUGGGUUAUCCAUCUCCAGACUGCAGCACCCCUGGCAGAAGGUCCUCUAGACUCCAGCCAAGGAGAGCCCACCACUUCCCAAGGAAGUCAGUCUUAAUAUAGCAGUAUUAUUCACAAUUAUCCAUUAUUCUGGAAAGCAUUGUGCAACCACUUAAGUGGAGUGGUUGUAGGGGAUGGCACUUGGCAUGAAGUGUUGCUGGGCUGGAGAAGGGAGCAGAGAGCAGGGGAGGGACAGUGUUGUUUGUGACUUGCUUGUGAACCACCAGACACGUUGUUUUUUAACUACUGUCAGUCAUCUGGGGAGCAACCUGGUGCCUCUGCAAGCUCACAAGCAAGGUUUGCUCCCAGCCUUUCAGUACUUUAACACAGGUACAUUACCUUUGAACAUGGGGAUUCCAUUUUCCCAGUACUGUAUUUUUAUAUUUGUUUUUACAUCAAUAUAUGGCAAUCUUUUGCAAUCUGUUCCCUUGGGCAGUUUUUGCUGCUAGGCAAUUAUCAAUAUACAGUGGUACCUCGGGUUAUAUACGCUUCAGGUUACAUACGCUUCAGGUAACAGACUCCGCUAACCCAGAAAUAGUGCUUCAGGUUAAAAACUUUGCUUCAGGAUGAAAACAGAAAUUGUGCUCAGGCAGCGCAGAGGCAGUGGGAGGCCCCAUUAGCUAAAGUGGUGCUUCAGGUUAAGAACAGUUUCAGGUUAAGUACAGACCUCCGGAACGAAUUAAGUACUUAACCCUAGGUACCACUGUAAUUUGGCAGCCAUUGAGCCCAUCUUUAAGGUGGAAUUAAGUAAACUGUGUGUUUCAUAAAGAACUUUUGCUUGCCCUGAAUCUAUUUCUAAUCAGCACCAUUGGGGUGACUCAAGGUCUUUCCAGAUGACCGGCUCAUUUGUCCUGAUUUGUUUGAGAGUUUAGAUGGCCUUGCACUGAAGCAAGUGCAAUCCAACGCUUUCGAUGCCUUUCCUUGUCACUUUCCUUAUCGCAAGAAGUCUGACCUUUUGGGGAAGCAGGUUUGUUGCACGAGACCUCCCAAUCCCUUGCAGUUGUGGGACCUGAAUUUACCUGUAUGUGACUAAAUCCCACCCGAAUACAGUGAAAGCCUGGAAGCAACCCCUGAAUGAAGUUAAGUUGGCUUAUCUGAAUUGGGUGCGGUAAUUUGACUGGCAAGAGCCUUCCAAGGAUUUGGAAAAAGUCUCUUCUCAAUCCUCUUAGCUGGUAAGCUUUUAGGUACAGAUGCAUGGACCUUAACCCAGGACAGUCUACCACUUACUGAGCUAUUUAGGCAAGAUGGCCCAUGGAAGAGUGAUCACUGGAUGAUCUUUGGCUGUAUGGCUUCUCAGUUUGAUGCCGUUUAAGAUGGUCCUUAGAUUUCCCCAAUAAUUAUAUUUAGGGCCACAUAGGCAUCACUGAUAAAGAGGAAACACAUAACUUUUGUUUUUUAAGAUAUAUUUGUGUAAAAUCUGCAUGUGCUAAUUUGUAUGUUUGGAUGUAAAUACAGACACAGUCACUAUAAUUGAAACAAAAAUGCAAUCCAUCUCAACAUCCUGGGGAAGACUGUGACCUGUGUAGAUGGUCCAUUUCAAGGCCCCUGUCACAUGGAAGACGGAAUUGUAGAGCUGAAAAGGGACCCCAAGGAUCAUCUAGUCCAACCCCCUGCAAUGCAGGAACGUGCAACUGUCCCAUAUGGGGAUCAAACCUGCGACCUUGGUGUCAUCAGCACCUUGCUCUAACCAGCUGAGCUAUCAGGUGUCCAGUGGUUGUAUUUUCUCAGUUAAGCAGGCAGCAACCCAAACGGAAUGAUAAAGUAGGAUGCGCUGCCUGCCACCCUAAGGCCAAUUCACACAUGCCUGCAUAUUCAUUGAUUUCUCAGCACUUGCCAAACGGCAGCUGACUGUGAGACCUGACUCCUAAGCAGAAGAGGAGAGCUCUUCUGAUGUGUCUGUUCUGUGUUGCUUGACCCAGCCGGGAAGCUGCAAGUGCAGGCCGAGCCCUCUCUGGUGAAAGCUGCGGUUGGAGAUGAUGUCUUGCUGAAUUGCAUCUUUACUGUGGACGAGCCUACUGUGGACCUCAGCCGACUCUCAAUCCUCUGGUUCCACCGGGGCAGGCAGCUGGCGGAAUUUGACGAUGUGGUGACCACCUCCGGGGAAGGCGUCAGCCUGAGCCGGGAAGAGCUGGGGAAAGGCAAUGCGUCCUUGUUCAUCUCCCGGGUUGGCACUGGAAACUCUGGCAACUACAGAUGCUACGUUACAUACACGCCGGAAGUGCGCAUCCGGGAAGUGACUUUGCAAGUUGCAG
RNAcentral lists this long non-coding RNA (4948 nucleotides) under Podarcis muralis (Common wall lizard). RNAcentral's name for it is "lncRNA (ENSPMRG00000021312.1)". The record is from RNAcentral. Lineage: Eukaryota; Metazoa; Chordata; Lepidosauria; Squamata; Lacertidae.